RNAcentral lists this small RNA (107 nucleotides) under Marmota monax (woodchuck). Lineage: Eukaryota; Metazoa; Chordata; Mammalia; Rodentia; Sciuridae. The record is from RNAcentral.
GCUGGGCGUGGUGGUGCAUGCCUGUAAUCUCAUUCACUUAGGAGGCUGAGGCGGGAGGAUCCCAAGUUCAAGGCCAGCCUGGGCAACUCAGUGAGACUCUGUCUCAA